AAUAUGAUGCCUGAUAAAAGGCCUGCCUUGAUAGGGCAAAUCAUGUAGGCUGUCCUACUCAUAUUA
RNAcentral lists this transfer RNA (66 nucleotides) under Linuparus trigonus. RNAcentral's name for it is "tRNA-Ile". The record is from RNAcentral. Lineage: Eukaryota; Metazoa; Arthropoda; Malacostraca; Decapoda; Palinuridae.